AGGGCCAUACUUUCAGGGAUCAAUUCUAAAGUUGGUUACUACAGAAGUUUCUAUGAUUGUGUAGAGUACCAGAAACUAUGAGGAGGAGGCAUAGCAUUCCUUCCUGAGCUUCAAACCAGCUCUUGGUGUUGCUUUGCUGCAACUGCCACUUGCCAUUGAUGAUUGUUCUUGCUCUGUCUCUGGAGGGAGCAAGGGGGAAGGAAUGCAGUGUGAGUGGC
This is a small nucleolar RNA of Fukomys damarensis (Damara mole-rat), 218 nucleotides long. Its record names the gene U3. It matches the Rfam family "Small nucleolar RNA U3". From Rfam's summary of the family: Small nucleolar RNAs (snoRNAs) are involved in the processing and modification of rRNA in the nucleolus. There are two main classes of snoRNAs: the box C/D class, and the box H/ACA class. U3 snoRNA is a member of the box C/D class. NCBI's taxonomy places the organism in Eukaryota, Metazoa, Chordata, Mammalia, Rodentia, Bathyergidae. The record is from Ensembl.